RNAcentral lists this ribosomal RNA (322 nucleotides) under uncultured eukaryote. Its description in RNAcentral is "partial 18S ribosomal RNA". It matches the Rfam family "Eukaryotic small subunit ribosomal RNA", at positions 1470 to 1796 of the family's 1831-position model. The record is from RNAcentral.
CCCUUAGAUGUUCUGGGCCGCACGCGUGCUACACUGAGUGGAUCAGCGGGUCAGGUUGCGCGAAAGUGUUUCCUAAUCUUUAAAUCCGCUCGUGAUGGGGAUUGACGGUUGCAAUUUUCCGUCAUGAACGAGGAAUACCUUGUAAGCGCGGGUCAUCAUCCCGCGCUGAAUACGUCCCUGCUCUUUGUACACACCGCCCGUCGCUCCUACCGAUUGAGUGGUCCGGUGAGGCUUUGGGAUCUGAGCGGAAAGAGCGUUUCGCUGUUUCUGCCCGGAAAACUCAGUCGAACCUUAUCAUUUAGAGGAAGGAGAAGUCGUAACA